CUAAACCCUAAUCACUUCUCCUCCUCAUCUCAGUUCUCUUUGAGAUCCAACCCUAACCCUAUUGCUGCCAACUAAACCUAGACCUAAUCCGUUCGAUUCCUACCUGCUCUAUGAGGUUCCACGAUUAUUUCAUACCUCCAUUGGUCUCCUACUUAUUCUGGUUGUUCGAGUUUGCUAUUCCAUGAAAGAAAUCUCAAAAUAUCUAGCCCAG
This 211-nucleotide long non-coding RNA is filed under the name Nicotiana benthamiana. RNAcentral's name for it is "long non-coding RNA (NBEN_LNC037298)". The record is from RNAcentral. Lineage: Eukaryota; Viridiplantae; Streptophyta; Magnoliopsida; Solanales; Solanaceae.